Molecule: ribosomal RNA, 497 nt
Filed under: uncultured bacterium
Lineage: Bacteria
Description: partial 16S ribosomal RNA
Rfam family: Bacterial small subunit ribosomal RNA
Source: RNAcentral
GAUGAACGCUGGCGGCGUGCCUAAUACAUGCAAGUCGAGCGAACAGAUGAGGAGCUUGCUCCUCUGACGUUAGCGGCGGACGGGUGAGUAACACGUGGAUAACCUACCUAUAAGACUGGGAUAACUUCGGGAAACCGGAGCUAAUACCGGAUAAUAUAUUGAACCGCAUGGUUCAAUAGUGAAAGACGGUUUUGCUGUCACUUAUAGAUGGAUCCGCGCCGCAUUAGCUAGUUGGUAAGGUAACGGCUUACCAAGGCAACGAUGCGUAGCCGACCUGAGAGGGUGGUCGGCCGCACUGGAACUUAGACGCGGUCCAUGCUCCUGCGGGAGGCAGCAGUAGGGAAUCUUCCGCAAUAGGCGAGAGCCUGACGGAGCAACGCCGCGUGAGUUAUGAAGGUCUUCGGAUCGUAAAACUCUGUUAUUAGGGAAGAACAAAUGUGUAAGUAACUAUGCACGUCUUGACGGUACCUAAUCAGAAAGCCACGGCUAACUACGUG